AUCACAUCUAGAACAUCCUAUACAAAGAUUAAAGAACUAAGUUAGAAAGUGAACCAAAAUAUGAAUUCACGUACACAAGGUACCAUGUGAAGAGAAGGAAAACUGUUUCUCUUCGGAUGACCCAGGUUGCAUCUAAAAAUUUUUUUAUUAAUCUAUAUGAAUAAGGAUCAAAUUCUUAUCUGAUUAAUAGUAGAACCAAAGAUCACAUUUCAAAUAAUCUGGAUUAAACCUUUGCGGAGGCCUGAAAGUGUAGACUCUCUACUUCGCAUGUAUGCCAAACACCGU
Molecule: long non-coding RNA, 285 nt
Filed under: Elaeis guineensis (African oil palm)
Lineage: Eukaryota; Viridiplantae; Streptophyta; Magnoliopsida; Arecales; Arecaceae
Description: long non-coding RNA (EGUI_LNC065603)
Source: RNAcentral